GUGCUUGUAGCUCAGCUGGAUAGAGCAACGGUUUCCUAAACCGUCGGUCGAGAGUUCGAACCUCUUCAAGCACA
RNAcentral lists this transfer RNA (74 nucleotides) under Schleiferilactobacillus perolens. RNAcentral describes it as "tRNA-Arg". It matches the Rfam family "tRNA". Rfam says of the family: Transfer RNA (tRNA) molecules are approximately 80 nucleotides in length. Lineage: Bacteria; Bacillati; Bacillota; Bacilli; Lactobacillales; Lactobacillaceae. RNAcentral also lists the same sequence under 2 other names. The record is from RNAcentral.